Molecule: long non-coding RNA, 1943 nt
Organism: Octopus bimaculoides (California two-spot octopus)
Lineage: Eukaryota; Metazoa; Mollusca; Cephalopoda; Octopoda; Octopodidae
Source: RefSeq, a predicted model, not a curated record
AGUCAGAUGGGAGGGGGUGCAGAUGUGAUGUAAGUACAGCAAAGUUAUGUUUAAAUAUGUUUUAGAAAUUAAACUGGCUAUGGGAAAUAUAUUAUCAAUUUAUCACCCAGCAAUAUAUCUUCCCUGCAGCCAUAUGAAACUCUAGCACAAAUUAGAGGCCACAUUAUUGAAAAAAGUUUGCUGAAAGUAUGAUUAAUAGGAUUAUAAAACUACAAGUAUAUUAGAAUCAUGAUAAGAUUAUAAUUACAAUGCAGAAGGGAAGUAAUGAUAAUGAGGAUGCUGAUGAUAAUGAGGAUGAUGAAGAUAAGGUUGAGCAUCACAACCAUCAUGAUCACCUAAUUUUGUACCAGAUCACAAACAGUAAUUUGUCAGGUGAUGUAAAGUUUGAUUAUUUCAAUAUUAACUUUUGGCUAUAAGCAAAGUUUUUAGAGUUAUAUAUAAUUUCGUCUAUUUUAUUCUCUCUCUUCUGCUUCCUGACAUAAACACAAAGCACAAAAUAUGUAUAAUAUAUAUGAUUUGCUAGCAAUAGUUCAAAGAGCAUGCCUGAACUUUUUGUCAUAUUCCAAAAUUCUCUGAACCUUUACAAGCCAUGUUAAUUACUUGACUGAACUUUGGAAAAAGAUUUAUAGUAUUGAAGCAACAGAAUUAAAGUUGACCUUAGAGAAAGGAUGUUUCUCCAAAAUUACUACUGAGAAAAGAACUGCAAGUAUUCACAACUCAUAAAUCUUGAAUUCCUGACAUACAAAAUUAACCAUUUAUUUCUCACAAAGGAAAUUCUUUUCAGAUUCUCUGCAAGAGCUAGUAUCGGGCAUUGUAUUCGGGCUUACUUAAUCUGUCAUGUGAGAAUCGAAUAUUUAUAAUAGGAAAAAAUAUUGAUAAUAAUAAUAAUAAUAAGAAAAAUUAUAAUUAGAAUAAUGAGAUUGAAUUGUUGAUAAUAAAUGAUGGAUAGGUAUGUCACCCACCAGCUAUCAUUGUCAAUACAAAUGAGUCAACAUCUGGUUAAGCCAAGUUGAAAAUUAUAUCUUUAUGGGGAUCAUGAUGAUUAUGAUUAUGAUGUGUAGUACUAGUCAGUCCUGAUUCAGUAGACCUAUGAUGAUGGUGAUGAUGAUGAUGAUGAUGACAGUGGUAAACAAUAAAGAAUUGAAUAGUUUAGGUGUAUGUAUAAGUACCUGUUUAUAUAGACAAUGGUGUAAAUGUAAAUUGUAAUAGAAAGUCUUGUUUACAUUAUUAACAGAAUACUCUAGUAAGUUAACACUCUACUUAGUUUUGGUAUUGUAAUCUGCAAGGGGAUACAGACUUGGCUGCCAAUCAAAAUUGCUCAAGUGCUUUCUCUAAGGACACACAAUGCAAAAAUAUUUGUUGCCAGAUAUGAACCAUGGGAAAAGGUAUUUUGAUAUGUACAUUAUUCUAUUAGGUCAAAUAUCAUCAAUGUAUUCAUAUUUUUACACACACACACACACAACAGUUCACUUUUGCAUUUUUGAAAACAUUGAUGGUCACAGCCAUAGAGUAACAGAAAACUCUGUUUAUAACUUAUCUCUGACACCACAUCAGACUAAAAAACUGAGUUCACUUAGCAUGAAAUGGUUACCCCACAUGGUGUGAAGGUGGUAUAAUUCUCUGCUGUAAACAGAGUUAGCUUUGUAGAAGUGACAGAGUUGUGUUAGCUUGCAAUUCUGAUUACUUUUCCUCUAGUUAGAAAUAUUAACUGUGACACUGUGUUAGACCAACAUCAUAGGUGAAGGAUUAGUCUGUCAGCCACUUAAUACAAUGGAAUAUCCAUGUACUUCAUAGAUCUUAUGGUUUGAAAAAGAGGAUUAGUUUCAGUAUCUUACUGUAUAUGCAUGAGUAAAUAGCAAUACAUAAUAGCAAGACACUUCCACAAGGCGACCUCAUCAUGCAUAGUAUUCCAGUAUAGAUUAACAUGAUGAUGAACUAUAUAU